UACGAAGGGGGCUAGCGUUGCUCGGAAUCACUGGGCGUAAAGGGUGCGUAGGUGGGUCUUUAAGUCAGAGGUGAAAUCCUGGAGCUCAACUCCAGAACUGCCUUUGAUACUGAGGAUCUUGAGUUCGGGAGAGGUGAGUGGAACUGCGAGUGUAGAGGUGAAAUUCGUAGAUAUUCGCAAGAACACCGGUGGCGAAGGCGGCUCACUGGCCCGAUACUGACACUGAGGCACGAAAGCGUGGGGAGCAAACAGG
This 253-nucleotide ribosomal RNA is filed under the name uncultured bacterium. Its description in RNAcentral is "partial 16S ribosomal RNA". It matches the Rfam family "Bacterial small subunit ribosomal RNA", at positions 524 to 776 of the family's 1533-position model. The record is from RNAcentral.